GAUGAACGCUAGCGGCAGGCCUAACACAUGCAAGUCGAGGGGCAGCACGUCUUCGGAUGGUGGCGACCGGCGCACGGGUGCGUAACGCGUAUGCAACCUACCUCUUACAGUGGGAUAGCCCAGAGAAAUUUGGAUUAAUACCGCAUAGUAUACAGAUUCAGCAUUGGGACUGUAUUAAACAUUUAUGGGUAAGAGAUGGGCAUGCGUUCUAUUAGUUAGUUGGAGUGGUAACGGCACCCCAAGACAGCGAUAGAUAGGGCCCGUGAGAGGGGAGUCCCCACACUGGUACGUGAGACACGGACCAGACGUCCUACGGAGGCAGCAGUGAGGAAUAUUGGACAAUGGGCGAGAGCCUGAUCCAGCCAUGCCGCGUGCAGGAAGACGGCCCUAUGGGUUGU
This 398-nucleotide ribosomal RNA is filed under the name uncultured bacterium. RNAcentral's name for it is "bacterial SSU rRNA". It matches the Rfam family "Bacterial small subunit ribosomal RNA", at positions 28 to 426 of the family's 1533-position model. The record is from RNAcentral.